RNAcentral lists this ribosomal RNA (282 nucleotides) under uncultured bacterium. Its description in RNAcentral is "partial 16S ribosomal RNA". It matches the Rfam family "Bacterial small subunit ribosomal RNA", at positions 335 to 610 of the family's 1533-position model. The record is from RNAcentral.
UGCCUACGGGAGGCAGCAGUAGGGAAUUUUCGGCAAUGGGGGGAACCCUGACCGAGCAACGCCGCGUGACGGCCGCCGGCCUUCGUUCUGUCCCCUUCUGUUCUCCCGGCCGACCGACGGAUGGAGGAAAUGACAUCCGAGUGACGGUACUUUAUGAGAAAGCCACGGCUAACUACGUGCCAGCAGCCGCGGUAAUACGUAGGUGGCAAGCGUUAUCCGGAAUUAUUGGGCGUAAAGCGGGAGCAGGCGGCAGAAAAGGUCUGUGGUGAAAGACUGAAGCUU